UAGUAAAAAUGACUUAUCGGGACACGUACAAUCACAGUUUUACUAAUUUGCGUGUGUAAACUCAAAAGUCACUAUAUUUUGCCAAAAGUCCUAGGGCCUCUUCAUUAAAAUCAAAACUUACCGGUUUGUAUAAAAAUAUUUUCGCAAAGAAGAACUAAUAUUUAGACUAAAAGAUCUUUAUUAUAAGACGAUGGCUCCAAGAACCCAUGAAUGAGAAAGGGUUUACUCCCUAUAAAUAACCGGUUUAUCUUCAACAAUCAAAUAACAAAAUCCAAGAGAUCAAUCGAGUAGGGAAAAUCAAUGAGUGGCAUUAGGUUUAGGAGACUUUUGGUGACGAUAAUGAUGUUGCUUAUGCUCUUUCUAAUUGUAAUAAAUGCCAAUAACGCUUUGCCUCCCUCUCUUCCACCCUCUCUUUUUCUGACUAGCCUUCUCUCUAUCCUUGACCAUGAACAAAAGAUCAUGUUUGAUUAUGAGUGUUUCUGGUUUUUAGCUCAUCAUUGUUUAAUAUUUCGAAGUUAUAAGUUAUUCGCAGAACCCCGGCAUAGUGAAUAUAAUGAUUGUAUACAUAAAGUGAAGAUAAUGUGCCGCAUGCAUUCCUAAGAUGUUAAUUAUCUUGUGAGGUUUCCACCUCCUUGUGAGGCUUUUUAGGGGAGGAGGAACAAACUUUGUUUCUCUCCUCCUCCCCUCCUUUCUCUUCUCCAUUUUCGCUCCCGUUUUUGGUGUUUUUUGUUCUAUUUUUUGCUGUUUCCGACCAAACCAGGAGCUCUGGCCUUCCUCUUUCGCAGCACUUAGCCUCCACCGUCUUGUUUCCGCCAGUCCUCCUCCUUCUAGUGCCACGCGUCGCAAUCCUGAAGAUGCUUGAGUUUGUAGAUCUAGUUUUUUAAAGCCAAAUCUACCCUCUUCUACUAGUCUAGCUCCCCCACGUGCCUCAUUAUUGUACUCAUCGGCAACCUAGCAACCCAUCGCCACCAGCCACGCUCCAUUCCGACCACCCAGACCGGCAGAAGAAAAAAAAAAUUGCAGAUCAAGAA
Long non-coding RNA from Alnus glutinosa, 1031 nucleotides. RefSeq lists it as uncharacterized. The record is from RefSeq and is a predicted model, not a curated record. NCBI's taxonomy places the organism in Eukaryota, Viridiplantae, Streptophyta, Magnoliopsida, Fagales, Betulaceae. The transcript is spliced from 2 exons.